Molecule: ribosomal RNA, 496 nt
Filed under: uncultured bacterium
Lineage: Bacteria
Description: partial 16S ribosomal RNA
Rfam family: Bacterial small subunit ribosomal RNA
Source: RNAcentral
AUGAACGCUGGCGGCGUGCCUAAUACAUGCAAGUCGAGCGAACAGACGAGGAGCUUGCUCCUCUGACGUUAGCGGCGGACGGGUGAGUAACACGUGGAUAACCUACCUAUAAGACUGGGAUAACUUCGGGAAACCGGAGCUAAUACCGGAUAAUAUAUUGAACCGCAUGGUUCAAUAGUGAAAGACGGUUUUGCUGUCACUUAUAGAUGGAUCCGCGCCGCAUUAGCUAGUUGGUAAGGUAACGGCUUACCAAGGCAACGAUGCGUAGCCGACCUGAGAGGGUGAUCGGCCACACUGGAACUGAGACACGGUCCAGACUCCUACGGGAGGCAGCAGUAGGGAAUCUUCCGCAAUGGACGAAAGCCUGACGGAGCAACGCCGCGUGAGUGAUGAAGGUCUUCGGAUCGUAAAACUCUGUUAUUAGGGAAGAACAAAUGUGUAAGUAACUAUGCACGUCUUGACGGUACCUAAUCAGAAAGCCACGGCUAACUACGUG